CCUACGGGGUGCAGCAGUGGGGAAUAUUGGGCAAUGGAGGAAACUCUGACCCAGCAACGCCGCGUGAAUGAUGAAGGUCUUCGGAUUGUAAAGUUCUGUUCUAAGGGAAGAAGAAAGUGACGGUACCUGAGGAAUAAGCCUCGGCUAACUACGUGCCAGCAGCCGCGGUAAUACGUAGGAGGCGAGCGUUAUCCGGAAUGACUGGGCGUAAAGGGGGCGGAGGUGGGUUGGCAAGGUAGUAGCGUAACUCCAAGGCUCAACCUUGGAACUACUACUCAAACUGUUGGACUUGAGUGCAGGAGGGGCAACCGGCAUUCCUCGUGUAGCGGUGU
RNAcentral lists this ribosomal RNA (332 nucleotides) under uncultured bacterium. RNAcentral's name for it is "partial 16S ribosomal RNA". It matches the Rfam family "Bacterial small subunit ribosomal RNA", at positions 338 to 684 of the family's 1533-position model. The record is from RNAcentral.